AAUAUUGGACAAUGGGGGGAACCCUGAUCCAGCCAUGCCGCGUGUGUGAAGAAGGUCUUCGGAUUGUAAAGCACUCUAAGUUGGGAGGAAGAGUUGUAGGCUAAUACCUUGCAAUUUUGACGUUACCAACAGAAUAAGCACCGGCUAACUUCGUGCCCGCAGCCGCGGUAAUACGAAGGGUGCAAGCGUUAAUCGGAAUUACUGGGCGUAAAGCGCGCGUAGGUGGUUCGUUAAGUUGGAAGUGAAAGCCCCGGGCUCAACCUGGGAACCGCUUUAAAAACUGGCAAGCUAGAGUAUGGCAGAGGGUGGUGGAAUUUCCUGUGUAGCGGUGAAAUGCGUAGAUAUAGGAAGGAACACCAGUGGCGAAGGCGACCACCUGGACGAAAACUGACGCUGAGGCACGAAAGCUAGGGGAGCAAAC
Molecule: ribosomal RNA, 421 nt
Filed under: uncultured bacterium
Lineage: Bacteria
Description: partial 16S ribosomal RNA
Rfam family: Bacterial small subunit ribosomal RNA
Source: RNAcentral